GCCGAGGUAGCUCAGGGGUAGAGCAUCCCGCUCGUAACGGGAAGGUCGUGGGUCCAAAUCCCAUUCUCGGCU
Molecule: transfer RNA, 72 nt
Filed under: Ohtaekwangia koreensis
Lineage: Bacteria; Pseudomonadati; Bacteroidota; Cytophagia; Cytophagales; Fulvivirgaceae
Description: Bacteroidetes bacterium 3B-2 tRNA
Rfam family: tRNA
About the family: Transfer RNA (tRNA) molecules are approximately 80 nucleotides in length.
Source: Rfam by way of RNAcentral